UACGUAGGUGGCAAGCGUUGUCCGGAAUUAUUGGGCGUAAAGCGCGCGCAGGCGGGAAAUCAAGUCCGAUUUAAAAGUGCGGAGCUCAACUCCGUGAGGGGUCGGAAACUGAUUUUCUUGAGUGCAGGAGAGGAAAGUGGAAUUCCCAGUGUAGCGGUGAAAUGCGUAGAGAUUGGGAGGAACACCAGUGGCGAAGGCGACUUUCUGGACUGUGUCUGACGCUGAGGCGCGAAAGCCAGGGGAGUGAACGGG
Molecule: ribosomal RNA, 252 nt
Filed under: uncultured microorganism
Description: partial small subunit ribosomal RNA
Rfam family: Bacterial small subunit ribosomal RNA
Source: RNAcentral